CGAACGGGUGAGUAACACGUGGGCAACCUGCCCAAAAGAGGGGGAUAACACUUGGAAACAGGUGCUAAUACCGCAUAACCAUAGUUACCGCAUGGUAACUAUGUAAAAGGUGGCUAUGCUACCGCUUUUGGAUGGGCCCGCGGCGCAUUAGCUAGUUGGUGGGGUAAAGGCUUACCAAGGCAAUGAUGCGUAGCCGAACUGAGAGGUUGAUCGGCCACAUUGGGACUGAGACACGGCCCAGACUCCUACGGAAGGCAGCAG
Molecule: ribosomal RNA, 261 nt
Filed under: uncultured bacterium
Lineage: Bacteria
Description: partial 16S ribosomal RNA
Rfam family: Bacterial small subunit ribosomal RNA
Source: RNAcentral